RNAcentral lists this ribosomal RNA (438 nucleotides) under Triticum aestivum (bread wheat). Its description in RNAcentral is "partial small subunit ribosomal RNA". The record is from RNAcentral. Lineage: Eukaryota; Viridiplantae; Streptophyta; Magnoliopsida; Poales; Poaceae.
AUGGAGAUCUUUGUUAAGACCCUCACUGGCAAUAGGAUCACCGUCAAGGUAGAUCCAUCGGACACCAUCUACAUUGUAAAGGCGAAGAUUCAGUAUCAGCGGUGUCUUAUCUUUGGCAGGGAGGAGCUGGAGGACCGAUUGACUCUGGCCGAUUACGACAUUCAGGAUAAAUCCACUCUACAACUUGAUUUGCGCCCCCAAAGAAGGAAGAUGCUAAUCAUAGUUAAAGCAUUGACUGGCAAGGACAUCGCCCUUGAGGUUGAGAACUUGGACACCGUCGACAAUGUCAAGGACAAGAUCCAGAUCGAGUUGAACACUCCAGUGGACCUGCAAAGGCUGAUCUUUGCCUCGAGACAGAUGGAGGACUUUCGCACCCUGGAGGAGUAUGGCAUCAAGCAGCAGGACAUCAUUCACCUCGUGCUCCGCAUCCGCGGCUGA